UACGUAGGGGGCGAGCGUUGUCCGGAUUUAUUGGGCGUAAAGAGCUCGUAGGCGGUUUGUCGCGUCUGCCGUGAAAGUCCGGAGCUCAACUCCGGAUCUGCCGUGCCGACUGUCAAACUCGAGGGCUGUAGAGGCAGACGGAAUUCCGGGUGUAGCGGUGGAAUGCGUAGAGAUCCGGAGGAAGACCGGUGGCGAAGGCGGUCUGCUGGGCAGUUUCUGACACUGAGGCGCGACAGCGUGGGGGAGCAAACAGG
Molecule: ribosomal RNA, 254 nt
Filed under: uncultured bacterium
Lineage: Bacteria
Description: partial 16S ribosomal RNA
Rfam family: Bacterial small subunit ribosomal RNA
Source: RNAcentral